Molecule: transfer RNA, 77 nt
Filed under: Rhizobium phage RHph_TM2_3B
Lineage: Duplodnaviria; Heunggongvirae; Uroviricota; Caudoviricetes; Kleczkowskaviridae
Also listed under: 1 other name
Description: tRNA-Glu
Rfam family: tRNA
About the family: Transfer RNA (tRNA) molecules are approximately 80 nucleotides in length.
Source: RNAcentral
ACUGACGUGGGCAAGUGGUUUAAGCCACCUCAAUUUCACUGAGGAGAUCGCGAGUUCAAAUCUCGUCGUCAGUACCA